CCUUUGACGUUAGCGGCGGACGGGUGAGUAACACGUGGGUAACCUACCUAUAAGACUGGGAUAACUUCGGGAAACCGGAGCUAAUACCGGAUAAUAUUUCGAACCGCAUGGUUCGAUAGUGAAAGGUGGUUUUGCUAUCACUUAUAGAUGGACCCGCGCCGUAUUAGCUAGUUGGUAAGGUAACGGCUUACCAAGGCGACGAUACGUAGCCGACCUGAGAGGGUGAUCGGCCACACUGGAACUGAGACACGGUCCAGACUCCUACGGGAGGCAGCAGAA
This 279-nucleotide ribosomal RNA is filed under the name uncultured Staphylococcus sp. RNAcentral describes it as "partial 16S ribosomal RNA". It matches the Rfam family "Bacterial small subunit ribosomal RNA", at positions 83 to 354 of the family's 1533-position model. Lineage: Bacteria; Bacillati; Bacillota; Bacilli; Caryophanales; Staphylococcaceae. The record is from RNAcentral.